Molecule: long non-coding RNA, 616 nt
Filed under: Nicotiana benthamiana
Lineage: Eukaryota; Viridiplantae; Streptophyta; Magnoliopsida; Solanales; Solanaceae
Description: long non-coding RNA (NBEN_LNC023167)
Source: RNAcentral
AUGAAUAUAACUCCCUGCUCAAAAAUUAGAAUUUAGAAUUUACAACUUUUCUUUGUGCAAGCAAAGCAAAAAAGUGAAGCAGACAUGUCUACAAAGCAUUUAUCAAAAUUGCUUCUGAUUUCUGUUGCCAAUGAGUUAUACAUAAUACAUUGGUUUGAACAAGGUUCAGAGUUGAGACUAAUAUAUUGGGCUAUUUCUUCCCUUGAUAAUAUAUACAUAACAAUUACAAUGGCUAAAAUGCAGUUUUGGAUAAUAAUACAUGCAUGGCAUUGGGAUUUCUCUGUGUGUUCCACCAACUGUACUGACUAUCUCAUUCUAAUACUAUUCAAAUGUUGCUGCUCCCUUUUGCAUCAUCCUUGAGGACCUACAGCAACCCAAAUCCAGCACUUACUGUUGCUAUUCAAAUGUUGCUGCUCCCUUUUGCAUUAUCCUUGAGGGCCUACAGCAACCCAAAUCCAGCACUUACUGUUGCUUUCACAGCCUUCAUUGUACACCUCAACAAUAAUUUUCACAUAGACCGCGUGCUAGCUGCUGCCGUCCUAGAAAGUAAUGUAGCCCAAAAUCUCAUAAAUACACAACAACAAUCAAAGUAAAUUAUUGUUUAACAGUUAAAAAA